UCCUCGGUAGCUCAAUGGCAGAGCAUCCGGCUGUUAACCGGAGGGUUGCUGGUUCGAGUCCAGCCCGAGGAGCCA
RNAcentral lists this transfer RNA (75 nucleotides) under Mycobacterium sp. RNAcentral describes it as "tRNA-Asn". It matches the Rfam family "tRNA". Rfam says of the family: Transfer RNA (tRNA) molecules are approximately 80 nucleotides in length. RNAcentral also lists the same sequence under 18 other names. The record is from RNAcentral. Lineage: Bacteria; Bacillati; Actinomycetota; Actinomycetes; Mycobacteriales; Mycobacteriaceae.